AAGUCGUAACAAAGGUUUCCGUAGGUGAACCUGCGGAAGGAUCAUUAAAAGUGAUUGGUUAUACAUUUCAUGAUAUUCAACUGCAUUUAACCCAUUCCGAAGUACCUUGCCUGUUGUCUUCCAUGGGGCCUACCUAGGUCACUCUUGUGAUGUGAAACCCAAGAGAGCCCCAUGGGGGGUAAUCAUUAAAUUCAUGAAUCCAAUGUCUUCUGUCUGAAAUGUUUAAAACAAUUGUUAAAA
RNAcentral lists this unclassified non-coding RNA (240 nucleotides) under plant metagenome. RNAcentral's name for it is "partial contains small subunit ribosomal RNA and internal transcribed spacer 1". The stretch from base 1 to 47 matches the Rfam family "Eukaryotic small subunit ribosomal RNA", at positions 1786 to 1831 of the family's 1831-position model. The record is from RNAcentral.